RNAcentral lists this small RNA (16 nucleotides) under Arabidopsis thaliana (thale cress). RNAcentral describes it as "ATSL252370". Lineage: Eukaryota; Viridiplantae; Streptophyta; Magnoliopsida; Brassicales; Brassicaceae. The record is from RNAcentral.
AACAAAAUGACCAAAU